UCCUACGGGGGGCAGCAGUGGGGAAUAUUGCACAAUGGGGGGAACCCUGAUGCAGCGACGCCGCGUGAGUGAAGAAGUAUUUCGGUAUGUAAAGCUCUGUCAGCAGGGAAGAAAGCAAUGACGGUACCUGACCAAGAAGCCCCGGCUAACUACGUGCCAGCAGCCGCGGUAAUACGUAGGGGGCAAGCGUUAUCCGGAAUUACUGGGUGUAAAGGGAGCGUAGACGGCUGUGCAAGUCUGGAGUGAAAGGCGGGGGCCCAACCCCCGGACUGCUCUGG
RNAcentral lists this ribosomal RNA (278 nucleotides) under uncultured bacterium. Its description in RNAcentral is "partial 16S ribosomal RNA". It matches the Rfam family "Bacterial small subunit ribosomal RNA", at positions 337 to 629 of the family's 1533-position model. The record is from RNAcentral.